RNAcentral lists this long non-coding RNA (247 nucleotides) under Anas platyrhynchos platyrhynchos (common mallard). RNAcentral describes it as "lncRNA (ENSAPLG00000022285.1)". Lineage: Eukaryota; Metazoa; Chordata; Aves; Anseriformes; Anatidae. The record is from RNAcentral.
CAGAACUUGAAAAAGUGUAUGAAUGUCUUCAAAUGAAUUGUUAACAGGACAACAUCUAUCAGAUCAAAGAUGAAAAUCCUUCAGGCCUAAUUGACAGCAAGUCUUUAUAUCUUCAUUUGUUCCCAUUAGAAGUCCUUGUGCCCUUGAAUAAACAGGUAAGAUAAUAACUUUAAUUACUGCUAUAAUUAGGAAGCACCUGUGCUUUGGCAUGAGAAAAAAAAAAGCCUAAAAACAAACUUUCUUUUCU